GGGGGAUUGUUUUGUUUUUUUUAACAAAAACCAAAUAGUAUUUAAAUAAAGCAUUGUAUUUGGUUAGAGAAACCACGCCCCCUCGCCCGAUUCCUCUCCAGUGACGUCACUUACGCUAAUUACUCCCGCAAGUAUUAUACCCCCAUCAGCUUUUACUCUUUAUGUGAAACGCUACACCUACGGACUCCAAACACCAUGACCACUACAAAGAACGGGAGCAGUCAUGG
Pelobates cultripes (western spadefoot toad) is the source of this 227-nucleotide non-coding RNA. NCBI's taxonomy places the organism in Eukaryota, Metazoa, Chordata, Amphibia, Anura, Pelobatidae. The record is from the annotation of a GenBank genome assembly.